Molecule: ribosomal RNA, 449 nt
Filed under: uncultured Sphingobacteriales bacterium
Lineage: Bacteria; Pseudomonadati; Bacteroidota; Sphingobacteriia; Sphingobacteriales
Description: bacterial SSU rRNA
Rfam family: Bacterial small subunit ribosomal RNA
Source: RNAcentral
GGAGGAGCAUGUGGUUUAAUUCGAUGAUACGCGAGGAACCUUACCUGGGCUCGAACGUAAGAUGACUGUAGGUGAAAGCUUACAUCUCUUCGGAGCAUUUUACGAGGUGCUGCAUGGUUGUCGUCAGCUCGUGCCGUGAGGUGUCGGGUUAAGUCCCAUAACGAGCGCAACCCUACCUUUAGUUGCCAUCAGGUAAUGCUGGGGACUCUAAAGGAACUGCCUACGCAAGUAGUGAGGAAGCGGGGAUGACGUCAAAUCAGCACGGCCCUUACGUCCAGGGCUACACACGUGCUACAAUGGCCGAUACAGAGGGCAGCUACCUGGUGACAGGAUGCAAAUCUCCAAAGUCGGUCUCAGUUCGGAUCGGAGUCUGCAACCCGACUCCGUGAAGUUGGAUUCGCUAGUAAUCGCGCAUCAGCCAUGGCGCGGUGAAUACGUUCCCGGGCCUU